GUGGGGAAUCUUAGACAAUGGGGGAAACCCUGAUCUAGCCAUGCCGCGUGAUCGAUGAAGGCCUUAGGGUUGUAAAGAUCUUUCAGGUGGGAAGAUAAUGACUGUACCACCAGAAGAAGCCCCGGCUAACUCCGUGCCAGCAGCCGCGGUAAUACGGAGGGGGCUAGCGUUGUUCGGAAUUACUGGGCGUAAAUCGCACGUAGGCGGAUUGGAAAGUUGGGGGUGAAAUCCCGGGGCUCAACCCCGGAACUGCCUUUAAAACUCCCAGUCUUGAGUUCGAGAGAGGUGAGUGGAAUUCCGAGUGUAGAGGUGAAAUUCGUAGAUAUUCGGAGGAACACCAGUGACGAAGGCGGCUCACUGGCUCGAUACUGACGCUGAGGUGCGAAAGCGUGGGGAGCAAACAGGAUUAGAUACCCGAGUAGUCC
This 425-nucleotide ribosomal RNA is filed under the name uncultured bacterium. Its description in RNAcentral is "bacterial SSU rRNA". It matches the Rfam family "Bacterial small subunit ribosomal RNA", at positions 354 to 796 of the family's 1533-position model. The record is from RNAcentral.